Rhododendron vialii is the source of this 1133-nucleotide RNA transcript. It is a transcript of the gene named glyoxylate/succinic semialdehyde reductase 2, chloroplastic-like, with no coding region annotated. The record is from RefSeq and is a predicted model, not a curated record. The transcript is spliced from 5 exons. Lineage: Eukaryota; Viridiplantae; Streptophyta; Magnoliopsida; Ericales; Ericaceae.
GAAAAACGUAAUAUAAGUCCAUAUUUGAUUAUUAAUGCAUCUUGGGUUAUUUAAACAUACUUCAAAUGUUGAACCUGCGAAGUCUUUAGAACCAGAACUCGCGCUUUUCAAACGCGGCUUUUCUUUGGCAUAUGCCAUAUAUCGUACUCCGCUGGCAAUGAUCCUCCUCAAGCCCAAUUGCUUUCGAUUCUUAUUAAAAUUCUCCAUUUCCCAAAACAAAAUCCAUUGCAAAUCGUUCAAGCUUCUCCACUCGCAUACCCAUUCACUUCACAGCCCGAUCCAUCUCUUCCACCCCCAAAAAACCCUUUUCCUCCUUUUCGUCUAAGGCUUUCUCUCUCCAGAGCAGACGAAAUGUCAGCACGUUUUGGCAUUUUGGUCUUUGAAUUAUGGGCUCACCAAUGACUCAAAAUCUUAUAAAUGCUGGGUGCGACGUUGCUGUUUGGAAUAGGACGGAGAGCAAAUGUAAUCCCCCCCUAUCUCGCUGGGUGCAAAGUAAGGCAUGUUGGUCUACUCGCCACCAAGGAAAAUCUGUUUCGAAGACGUUGUGCUCAAUCUAAAACUUGUCCUAUUUGCAUGGAGUUUGAUGAAUCUUCGGAACACCUGUUCGACGGAAACUACAUGCCAGAGUUACGAUGAUGCCUAUGAAAAGCCAGGUGUAACUGAGAUUGCUAUCAUGGAACAAAAUGCAGGCAACCAACAAGAACGCAUUGACCAGACAACCCUCAAGUAUUAGCCAUUUGAAUUUGGAUACGGGCUUGACUGGUUGCGAUGACAACGAUGAAUCAGACAUGAAAAACCAAGGAGGCGAAGUUGGGUAGAGUGGGCUCGGAUGGGUUUAUGGCAGAGCUUGAGUCUUGGUGCCUCAUGUGCAUGAAUAUAUGUUCUGGUGAAGACAGACAAAUUUCCUUCUCUCUGUAAUUGAGCUCUAGUAUUGGUUUAUGGUUUAUCUUGAUAUGUAAAUGUAGUGUUAGUGAAAGAUAUGCAGUAGUACUAUGUAAUUGAGCUCUAGUGUUGGUUUAUGGUUUAUCUUGAUAUGUAAAUGUAGUGUUGCGUUUGUUUUUAAAAUUGUAGCAAGUGCAAUGCCCAAAGGGAUGAUGAGAGAUAAUGGGAAGAAGUGAAACAACUAUUAAGUC